RNAcentral lists this long non-coding RNA (1400 nucleotides) under Sarcophilus harrisii (Tasmanian devil). RNAcentral's name for it is "lncRNA (ENSSHAG00000021570.1)". The record is from RNAcentral. Lineage: Eukaryota; Metazoa; Chordata; Mammalia; Dasyuromorphia; Dasyuridae.
GGAAAAAUAAGCACUACAAUGUUUGGGGGCCAUUUUUAACUCAUUGUUUAGAGUUAUAUAUUAGAACUUCUACAUGUCAGCCAGAUGUCUUGUGAUAUAUAUUAUGAAAUGGUUUAAUGUGACAUUGUGGAGUUAAUGUAGUCCUGACUGAAUAGAAAUAAUGCCAAUUUGCCAAUUCUAAUGUUUGACUUUUAAUGGUUAUAAUAUGACUAUAAAAUAAGAGUAAGCAGUUAACUGUUUAACUCCAAUGCAUAAAAGCAGCACCUAGACAUAUUUAUAAGGGAUUAAUGGUUAUUUGUUAUCUUUAUAAAUUUUUAUUGGGAAAAUACUGAUUGAUAAUAAUUUAGAUUCGUAGACCAUGCUAAUAUGACAAUCUUAAUUACAUGAGCAAGUUAAGAUAUUGCACUUAGACCACAGGGAGACUUUUUUUUUUAAUGUGUGACAAAUUCCUGAGAUAAAUAUUUAUUCUUUUCUAAUAGGUUUGUUUUGUUUUUGCUUUGUUCUUUGUGCAAAAUAUAUUUUUUGGAAUCUAUUAACCUCUUCUUACCUGCAUACUUGAACUUUUUUGUUGUUGUUGCUGUUGGAGAAUUCAUAAUUCAGGAAUGGGGAGGGAGGGGCAAGGGGUGCAAGAAGGAGAAGGAAAGUUAUACCAAAAGUAGGUUUCCAACUUAAAACCUUAAAAGUGAACAUAUCAUGAAAAUUCAAUUGAAAUCCAGGGUGUAUCAAUCAAGAGUACUUCUAAGCAACCUUAAGCUGCAUGCUAAUAGCAUAUUCUCUUGGUUAUACAAUUUUAUUUUGAUGUUUGCUGAAACUUACAAAAAAAAAUGUGUAGCCACUAGAAUAAUUUGAUCUAUAUUUUGCUAUUUAUACUACCUCUUCUCUACAGAAGACAGCCUCUCUUUAAGAAAAAAAAAUCUACCGAUAAGUAGUUGAGAUCUUUAUUAUUGCUAACCUUGCUAUAAAAUUAAAUGCAUUUUAUAUGCUUAGUUCUACUGUUUUCCUCUAAAUCUUAAAGCUCUGUUCCAAACUAGCUUGUUUCAUAUUUCUUUCCUUCCUCCCUAAGGUACUUUGCAUGUAGUAAAAGGUUACCUUUAGACUCCAGAUCAUCUUGAUGAGCUAAUCCUCAUAGGAAGGGAAGGGAUGAACAUUGAUUAGAUAGCUUACUUUUGUGUAAUUACUGGACUGCUCCCCUGCAAAAGAAAAGCAUUUGUAGGUCCAAAGUAUUUUUCAUAUUCUAAAUCUUUAUGUUCUGCUUGAUUGCAAAUUCAGAGCUUUCUGGACUUUUUAUUGCUCUUGUUAACAUUUAGAGCAUACAUUAACCAUUUACUGUGUAAGGCUUUAUAUAAUCUUGGGGUGCCCAUUUUAUCAAAACACACUACACAUAUACAGAAACUUUCCAG